GAUGAACGCUGGCGGCGUGCUUAACACAUGCAAGUCGAACGGAAAGGCCCAAGCUUGCUUGGGUACUCGAGUGGCGAACGGGUGAGUAACACGUGGGUGAUCUGCCCUGCACUUCGGGAUAAGCCUGGGAAACUGGGUCUAUUACCGGAUAGGACCACUUCUUGGAUGUUGUGGUGGAAAGUUUUUUCGGUGUGGGAUGAGCUCGCGGCCUAUCAGCUUGUUGGUGGGGUAAUGGCCUACCAAGGCGUCGACGGGUAGCCGGCCUGAGAGGGUGUACGGCCACAUUGGGACUGAGAUACGGCCCAGACUCCUACGGGAGGCAGCAGUGGGGAAUAUUGCACAAUGGGCGCAAGCCUGAUGCAGCGACGCCGCGUGGGGGAUGACGGCCUUCGGGUUGUAAACUCCUUUCGCUAGGGACGAAGCGUUUUGUGACGGUACCUGGAGAAGAAGCACCGGCUAACUACGUG
Molecule: ribosomal RNA, 467 nt
Filed under: uncultured bacterium
Lineage: Bacteria
Description: partial 16S ribosomal RNA
Rfam family: Bacterial small subunit ribosomal RNA
Source: RNAcentral